UCACAAACUCAAACGUAGUUCAGUCAGGACCACUUUAGUCAAAGACACUUAUUACAUUGCAGUAAUAUAUACAUUAUAUUUGGCGGUAUGGCUCUGCUCUGGGACCUCCCUGCCCAUCCACGCGCAUGCGUGGAUCCACGAGCCUACGUGGUAGCAUGAGGCAAGGAGAGCACUCCUCCUUGCCCUUCCAUGUGCACACAUGGAAAGCCAAAGGCAGGGAGAGCAGCAGCAAAGACCCCCCUGGGUGCAGAACAGAGCCGGAAUCAAUGACAACAGAAUUGACAUUGAUUAAGUCAUAAACAGUUAGGGGUGGGCGACACAUCGAAUAUAGUCGAUGUAUCGCGGCUUGUCCCCCGCGCGGUACAGAAAACGACUACAUCGCGAACAUCGAACACAAAUUGUCAUGUAAUGUUUCCAAGCCAACCCUUUUUGUAUGAAAGAUUAAAAUUGUUCCAAAGAACCACUAAUGAAUAUCAACAGAGAUUUUAAUGCAGACAUAUGCUGCAGGGACUACAAGAUCAUAAUAUUGGU
Long non-coding RNA from Sebastes umbrosus (honeycomb rockfish), 531 nucleotides. RefSeq lists it as uncharacterized. The record is from RefSeq and is a predicted model, not a curated record. The transcript has 3 exons. Lineage: Eukaryota; Metazoa; Chordata; Actinopteri; Perciformes; Sebastidae.